AUCAGUCACCACAGAGCCCUGGCUGGUGCAGGAUCCACUCUGGUUCAGAGAGAAGACUAGAUGAAGUCCUUUGUCACCUGGCCUUCCUCUUUCGGAAAAGUGAGGAGGCUAACCUGAGUAUUUGAAGAUGGAGAGAAGCCCUAAAUGAAUGAGGUAACGCACAGUUGCAGAAGACGUGGUGCACGAUCCUUUACGAAAGGUCCCUGGAUUUGCAGUGUUUGGCAGAGGAAGAGAUAUGGGGAAAUACUGAAACUCACUCUAAAGGGACGUGCGAAGCUGUGGCGCACAGGUUGACAGCUCUGUCACACUUUUCGAUGUGACAUCUUGAAGAAUGCAUUGGAGGAGGCUGAGAGUGGAGCAUGGCCAGAGCCCGCUGGAAUGGGGGGCAGCCCAGAAGAAGGGCCAGACUGGAGAUGGGGAACAGUGGACGGAGAGCAG
This is a long non-coding RNA of Rhinolophus ferrumequinum (greater horseshoe bat), 438 nucleotides long. RefSeq lists it as uncharacterized. NCBI's taxonomy places the organism in Eukaryota, Metazoa, Chordata, Mammalia, Chiroptera, Rhinolophidae. The transcript has 3 exons. The record is from RefSeq and is a predicted model, not a curated record.